AUUGAACGCUGGCGGCAGGCCUAACACAUGCAAGUCGAACGGUAACAGGAAACAGCUUGCUGUUUCGCUUACGCGUGGCGGACGGGUGAGUAAUGUCUGGGAAACUGCCUGAUGGAGGGGGAUAACUACUGGAAACGGUAGCUAAUACCGCAUAACGUCGCAAGACCAAAGAGGGGGACCUUCGGGCCUCUUGCCAUCGGAUGUGCCCAGAUGGGAUUAGCUAGUAGGUGGGGUAACGGCUCACCUAGGCGACGAUCCCUAGCUGGUCUGAGAGGAUGAACAGCCACACUGGAACUGAGACACGGUCCAGACUCCUACGGGAGGCAGCAGUGGGGAAUAUUGCACAAUGGGCGCAAGCCUGACGCAGCCAUGCCGCGUGUAUGAAGAAGGCCUUCGGGUUGUAAAGUACUUUCAGCGGGGAUGAAGGGAGUAAAGUUAAUACCUUUGCUCAUUGACGUUACCCGCAGAAGAAGCACCGGCUAACUCCGUG
RNAcentral lists this ribosomal RNA (490 nucleotides) under uncultured bacterium. RNAcentral's name for it is "partial 16S ribosomal RNA". It matches the Rfam family "Bacterial small subunit ribosomal RNA", at positions 30 to 507 of the family's 1533-position model. The record is from RNAcentral.